CCAGAAGCACCUGGAAGAAGGAAGAGGAAAUGAUGAGCAAUCCUGUACAGUCCUGCUGUUGUAAUUCUGGACUGCAAAUCCCAGAGAUCUUGGGGGUAGUAGGAAGAGGAAGUGAACACACAGCCAAGUGCCCAGUUCUAGUGCCCCCUAAGCUUCUGGCCUGAGACACUACAGGCCUGUGGCUGCAUUUCCUGAAUCAAAGGAAACAGAGGAAGCCUUAAACUUCAGCAAAGCCAAGUGGCUGUAAGGGGCUUCACAUCUCUGCAGAAUGUUAUAUGAACAUUUCUUUGGCACUGGGAUCAAAAGCAGCUGAAAAUGGAAAGUGAUGGUGGCAUUGAGCACGCUGGCAGGGGAAUGAAAAGUUGAUUUACUAAAAGCUUGAAGCAGAACACGCUGAUCUUUCUCUCUACAUUGGUGAACUUUUAUCAAGCCCUAAGUGUAUUUUCUUUCUCCUGUAAUUUCUAGGAAAUAUAAAAUUUCACUGAAAUAGUCAAGUGAUUUUACUUGCAUUCACUUCUGGAAAAAUAUUGGUGUAAUAUAUAAUAUUUAGGGACAGAAAUAUAAUUGGCAGUCUCCCAUGAAAUAGCUGGUUCCUCAUGAAAAAAUGUGGGGAACUGGCUAUUUUCAACAAGCUGGCAAAGAGCUGGCAAAAAGCUGUCUCCUCAAAGGGUGGGGGAAGGGAGGAAGGGAGCAAAGAGGGGAAAAAA
This is a long non-coding RNA of Alligator mississippiensis (American alligator), 707 nucleotides long. RefSeq lists it as uncharacterized. The record is from RefSeq and is a predicted model, not a curated record. The transcript is spliced from 3 exons. Lineage: Eukaryota; Metazoa; Chordata; Crocodylia; Alligatoridae.